AUGCACACCGGCCGCCUCCUCCAUCUCCUCCUGCUGCUCGCCGCCGCCGGCCGCUCGCUGGCCCGCGGCGGCAUCUUCGGGGCAGCGUCGCCGCCGUCCAGCCCCGACGGCGACCAGAAGUGCAGCCGGACGUGCGAGUCCGCGUACUGCACGGGCACCUUAGAGGCUCCGCUGAUGCGGUACGGCAAGUACUGCGGCGUGUCCUACACGGGGUGCCCCGGCGAGCCCCCCUGCGACGCCCUCGACGCCUGCUGCAUGCUCCACGACGCCUGCGUCCAGGCCACCGACGACUACCUCAACAUGUGGUGCAACCAGAGCCUGCUGGACUGCGUGGCCGCCGUGAGGACCGCGGCCGCGGCGGCGGGCGGCGGCGUGGAGGCCGUGCUGACGACGUUCGAGGGGAACAGCUGCAACGCCACGGACGUCGCCGACGAGAUCACCUCCAUCCUCGAGGCCGCCGUGUACGCCGGGAGCAUCCUGCGCAGAGCGCCGGCGCCGGCCCCGGCGAAGUAG
This 513-nucleotide ribosomal RNA is filed under the name Triticum aestivum (bread wheat). RNAcentral's name for it is "partial small subunit ribosomal RNA". Lineage: Eukaryota; Viridiplantae; Streptophyta; Magnoliopsida; Poales; Poaceae. The record is from RNAcentral.